RNAcentral lists this ribosomal RNA (864 nucleotides) under uncultured bacterium. RNAcentral's name for it is "bacterial SSU rRNA". It matches the Rfam family "Bacterial small subunit ribosomal RNA", at positions 8 to 917 of the family's 1533-position model. The record is from RNAcentral.
AGAGUUUGAUCAUGGCUCAGGAUUAACGCUGGCGGUAUGUCUAAUACAUGCAAGUCGAACGCGUCCUUGUGACGAGUGGCGAACGGCUGAGUAACACAUUGGUAUCUGCCCCGAACUCAGGGAUAACCCACCUAACGGUGGACUAAUACCGGAUAGUCUCGAAAGAGUAAAGAUUUUUCGGUUCGGGAGGAGCCUGUGGCCUAUCAGUUUGUUGGUGAGGUAAUGGCUCACCAAGACUAUGACGGGUAGCUGGUCUGAGAGGAUGAUCAGCCAGAAUGGAACUGAGACACGGUCCAUACUCCUACGGGAGGCAGCAGUAAAGAAUCUUUCACAAUGGGGGAAACCCUGAUGAAGCAAUACCGCGUGGAUGAUGAAGGUCGUAAGAUCGUAAAAUCCUUUUCUGAGGGAAUAAAUCUGAAGGUACCUCAGGAAUAAGCACCGGCUAACUCCGUGCCAGCAGCCGCGGUAAUACGGAGGGUGCAAGCGUUAUCCGGAAUUAUUGGGCGUAAAGCGUCCGCAGGCGAUUAGUUAAGUCAAAUAUUAAAUCACGGGGCCCAACUCCGUGGCCGUAUUCGAAACUGGCUAACUAGAGUAUUACAGAGGUGCGCGGAAUUCUGUGUGUAGGGGGUAAAAUCCGUAGAUACACAGAGGAACACCAAAAGCGAAGGCAGCGCACUGGGUAAUUACUGACGCUCAUGGACGAAAGCGUAGUAGCGAGCGGGAUUAGAUACCCCGGGUAGUCUACGCCGUAAACGAUGGAUACUAGGUGUUGGAGGACUCGACCCCUUCAGUGCCGACGCUAACGCAUUAAGUAUCCCGCCUGGGAAGUACGGUCGCAAGACUAAACUCAAAGGAAUUGACGGG